UACGAAGGGGGCUAGCGUUGUUCGGAUUUACUGGGCGUAAAGCGCACGUAGGCGGUUUGUUAAGUGAGAGGUGAAAUCCCAGAGCUCAACUCUGGAACUGCCUUUCAUACUGGCAAGCUAGAGUCCGGAAGAGGUAAGUGGAACUCCUAGUGUAGAGGUGGAAUUCGUAGAUAUUAGGAAGAACACCAGUGGCGAAGGCG
This 200-nucleotide ribosomal RNA is filed under the name uncultured bacterium. RNAcentral's name for it is "partial 16S ribosomal RNA". It matches the Rfam family "Bacterial small subunit ribosomal RNA", at positions 524 to 723 of the family's 1533-position model. The record is from RNAcentral.